GUUGUUUUCCCACGCAUAUGUAAUCAAGAAGAUAAUAAACUGUUGAAACUGAAGACAAAAGGAAAAACAAGAGGAGGAAACAACAGUACUCUAGCACUUCAAGAAGUGUACAGAAAUUAUAAAAAGAUGGCUAGUUUGGCCAUGUAUUGGAAUAUAGGAAUCAAGAAAAGGGCAGUAACAGUUGCUAGUUUUGCAAAAGAGAAUGAAAAAAGAGUAGAGGUAGCAGAGAAAGUGAAAAAAUCAAAAGUUGUAAUAUUAGGUGGAACUGGAAGAGUUGGUGGCUCUACUGCUAUUGCUCUCUCUAAGCUAUGUCCUGACCUUCACAUUAUUAUUGCUGGUCGAAAUCGGGAGAAAGGGGCUGCCAUGGUGUCAAAACUAGGGAAGAACUCAGAAUUCGCUGAAGUAAAUAUAGACGAUAGAGAAGCAUUAGAAGCCAAUUUGACAGAUGCGGACAUUGUGGUUCAUGCUGCUGGACCAUUCCAACAGUCUGCAAACUGUAAAGUACUAGAAGCUGCCAUUGGGACCAAGACGGCCUAUCUUGAUGUUUGUGAUGACACAAGCUAUGCAACACGGGCGAAGUCCUAUAUGGAUAAAGCACUGGAGGCCAAUAUUCCUGCCAUAACUACUGGUGGAAUCUACCCAGGAGUGAGCAGUGUGAUGGCAGCAGAGCUUGUUCGCACUGCAAAACUUGAAAGUGAGGGUGAAUUAGAGAGGCUGAGAUUCUACUACUACACUGCAGGCACCGGUGGUGCUGGACCUACUAUUUUAGCUACUAGUUUUUUGCUUCUUGGAGAGGAUGUAGUUGCAUAUAAUAAAGGAGAGAAAAUCAAAUUGACGCCAUAUAGUGGAAUGCUUACUAUUGACUUCGGAUUAGGGAUCGGCAAGAAGGAUGUUUACUUCCUAAACCUGCCAGAGGUGAAAAGUGUGCAUGAGGUCCUUGGAGUACCAACCGUUAGUGCUCGGUUUGGAACAGAUCCAUUCUUCUGGAACUGGGGAAUGAUUGCUAUGAGAAAUUUACUUCCUCAAGAAUUCCUGAGGGAUAGAAGCAAAGUGCAACAGUUGGUUCAGCUAUUCGAUCCAGUUGUUCGAGCCGUUGACGGAACAGCUGGAGAGACAGUCUCAAUGCGAGUAGAUUUGGAAUGCUCAGACGGACACAACAGAAUUGGCAUAUUUAGUCAUAAAAGUCUUUCUAGAUCAGUGGGAAUUUCAACUGCUGCAUUUGUCCUUGCUAUUCUUGAGGGAAGCACAAAACCUGGUGUCUGGUUUCCUGAAGAGCCAGAAGGAAUUUCAGUUGAAGCAAGGGAAGUUCUUCUCCAAAGAGCUUCCCAAGGAACUAUAAACUUCAUAAUGAACAAGGCUCCGUGGAUGGUAGAAACAAAUCCUAAAGAGCUCGGUUUUGGGAUUUAUUCAUAAAUUCAGUAUAGAGAUUUGACAGAUCAAGUUGCUUAACACUUUUUCUAUGUGACCAAUCAAUAUUUGUUACAAAUUUUUACCAGUGUCAAGAGCGUGGAGCCAAAAUGCACUGUCGCCUUGGAAGAUUAAAAAUUUUACAUUAUCUUUACCAAUUAAAAGUGAAAAUAAAACAAUGAGAUCUCAUUUAAUUGUUUCCCUUUCCUUUUCUCUUCCUUAAUUAUCUUCUUUUGCGUAGCUGGAGUAAAAUUCUACGAGAGAAGUCUAUUGAAUGACAAUGCUAAGACACAGUUGAUAAUGUAAUAAUAUAUAUGUAAAGCAGUUCUAUGUUGAUUAGUUUAGUUUUAGA
Molecule: RNA transcript, 1759 nt
Organism: Lycium ferocissimum
Lineage: Eukaryota; Viridiplantae; Streptophyta; Magnoliopsida; Solanales; Solanaceae
Exons: 15
Source: RefSeq, a predicted model, not a curated record